Molecule: unclassified non-coding RNA, 148 nt
Organism: Macaca fascicularis (crab-eating macaque)
Lineage: Eukaryota; Metazoa; Chordata; Mammalia; Primates; Cercopithecidae
Rfam family: Metazoan signal recognition particle RNA
About the family: The signal recognition particle (SRP) is a universally conserved ribonucleoprotein. It is involved in the co-translational targeting of proteins to membranes.
Source: Ensembl
GCUGAGCGUGGUGGCGCACGCCUGUAGUCCCAGCUACUCGGUAGGCUGAGGCAGGAGAAUCACUCGAGCCCAGGAGUUUGAGGCUGCAGUGAGUCGUGAUUGCACCACUGCACUCCAGCCUGGGUGACAGAGUGAGACCCUGUCUCUU